Molecule: ribosomal RNA, 483 nt
Filed under: uncultured bacterium
Lineage: Bacteria
Description: partial 16S ribosomal RNA
Rfam family: Bacterial small subunit ribosomal RNA
Source: RNAcentral
AUUGAACGCUGGCGGAAUGCUUUACACAUGCAAGUCGAACGAUGAACCUUAGCUUGCUAAGGGGCUUAGUGGCGAACGGGUGAGUAAUAUAUCGGAACGUGCCUUGUAAUGGGGGAUAACUAGUCGAAAGAUUAGCUAAUACCGCAUACGCCCUGAGGGGGAAAGUAGGGGAUCUUCGGACCUUACGUUAUAAGAGCGGCCGAUAUCUGAUUAGCUAGUUGGUGGGGUAAUGGCCUACCAAGGCGACGAUCAGUAGCUGGUCUGAGAGGACGACCAGCCACACUGGAACUGAGACACGGUCCAGACUCCUACGGGAGGCAGCAGUGGGGAAUUUUGGACAAUGGGCGCAAGCCGAUCCAGCCAUUCCGCGUGAGUGAAGAAGGCCUUCGGGUUGUAAAGCUCUUUCGCAAGGGAAGAAAACUUACCAUCGAAUAAAUGGUGAGGCUGACGGUACCUUGAUAAGAAGCACCGGCUAACUACGUG